This 280-nucleotide ribosomal RNA is filed under the name unidentified marine bacterioplankton. Its description in RNAcentral is "partial 16S ribosomal RNA". It matches the Rfam family "Bacterial small subunit ribosomal RNA", at positions 65 to 339 of the family's 1533-position model. The record is from RNAcentral. RNAcentral also lists the same sequence under 1 other name.
AACGGUAACAGGAAAGAGCUUGCUCUUUUGCUGACGAGUGGCGGACGGGUGCGUAACGCGUGGGAAUCUACCUUAUAGUGGGGGAUAGCCCGAAGAAAUUCGGAUUAAUACCGCAUAAGCCCUACGGGGGAAAAGGGGCCUCUCCUUGGAAGCUCUUGCUAUUAGAUGAGCCCGCGUAAGAUUAGCUUGUUGGUGGGGUAAUGGCCUACCAAGGCAACGAUCUUUAGCUGGUCUGAGAGGAUGAUCAGCCACACUGGGACUGAGACACGGCCCAGACUCC